Molecule: ribosomal RNA, 492 nt
Filed under: uncultured bacterium
Lineage: Bacteria
Description: partial 16S ribosomal RNA
Rfam family: Bacterial small subunit ribosomal RNA
Source: RNAcentral
AGUGAACGCUGGCGGUAGGCCUAACACAUGCAAGUCGAACGGCAGCACAGUAAGAGCUUGCUCUUACGGGUGGCGAGUGGCGGACGGGUGAGGAAUACAUCGGAAUCUACUUUUUCGUGGGGGAUAACGUAGGGAAACUUACGCUAAUACCGCUUACGACCUACGGGUGAAAGCAGGGGAUCUUCGGACCUUGCGCGAUUGAAUGAGCCGAUGUCGGAUUAGCUAGUUGGCGGGGUAAAGGCCCACCAAGGCGACGAUCCGUAGCUGGUCUGAGAGGAUGAUCAGCCACACUGGAACUGAGACACGGUCCAGACUCCUACGGGAGGCAGCAGUGGGGAAUAUUGGACAAUGGGCGCAAGCCUGAUCCAGCCAUACCGCGUGGGUGAAGAAGGCCUUCGGGUUGUAAAGCCCUUUUGUUGGGAAAGAAAAGCAGCAGGUUAAUACCCCGCUGUUCUGACGGUACCCAAAGAAUAAGCACCGGCUAACUUCGCG